GGGGAUAACCUGGGGAAACCCAGGCUAAUACCGCAUACGUCCUACGGGAGAAAGCAGGGGAUCUUCGGACCUUGCGCUAUCGGAUGAGCCCAUGUCGGAUUAGCUUGUUGGUGAGGUAAUGGCUCACCAAGGCGACGAUCCGUAGCUGGUCUGAGAGGAUGAUCAGCCACAUCGGGACUGAGACACGGCCCGAACUCCUACGGGAGGCAGCAGUGGGGAAUAUUGGACAAUGGGCGAAAGCCUGAUCCAGCCAUGCCGCGUGUGUGAAGAAGGCCCUCGGGUUGUAAAGCACUUUCAGUGGGGAAGAAAGCCUUGAGGUUAAUACCUUCGAGGAAGGACAUCACCCACAGAAGAAGCACCGGCUAACUCCGUGCCAGCAGCCGCGGUAAUACGGAGGGUGCGAGCGUUAAUCGGAAUUACUGGGCGUAAAGCGCGCGUAGGCGGUCUGAUAAGCCGGUUGUGAAAGCCCCGGGCUCAACCUGGGAACGGCAUCCGGAACUGUCAGGCUAGAGUGCAGGAGAGGAAGGUAGAAUUCCCGGUGUAGCGGUGAAAUGCGUAGAGAUCGGGAGGAAUACCAGUGGCGAAGGCGGCCUUCUGGACUGACACUGACGCUGAGGUGCGAAAGCGUGGGUAGCAAACAGGAUUAGAUACCCUGGUAGUCCACGCCGUAAACGAUGUCGACUAGCCGUUGGGGUCCUUGAGACCUUUGUGGCGCAGUUAACGCGAUAAGUCGACCGCCUGGGGAGUACGGCCGCAAGGUUAAAACUCAAAUGAAUUGACGGGGGCCCGCACAAGCGGUGGAGCAUGUGGUUUAAUUCGAUGCAACGCGAAGAACCUUACCUACCCUUGACAUCGAGAGAACUUGGCAGAGAUGCCUUGGUGCCUUCGGGAACUCUCAGACAGGUGCUGCAUGGCUGUCGUCAGCUCGUGUUGUGAAAUGUUGGGUUAAGUCCCGUAACGAGCGCAACCCUUGUCCUUAUUUGCCAGCGCGUAAUGGCGGGAACUCUAAGGAGACUGCCGGUGACAAACCGGAGGAAGGUGGGGACGACGUCAAGUCAUCAUGGCCCUUACGGGUAGGGCUACACACGUGCUACAAUGGACGGUACAAAGGGUUGCAAAGCCGCGAGGUGGAGCUAAUCCCAUAAAGCUGUUCUCAGUCCGGAUCGGAGU
Molecule: ribosomal RNA, 1170 nt
Filed under: unidentified
Description: bacterial SSU rRNA
Rfam family: Bacterial small subunit ribosomal RNA
Source: RNAcentral